GGGCGGUUAGCUCAGCUGGUUAGAGCACUGCGUUGACAUCGCAGAGGUCGUACGUUCGAGCCGUAUACCGCCCA
Molecule: transfer RNA, 74 nt
Filed under: Chloroflexota bacterium
Lineage: Bacteria; Bacillati; Chloroflexota
Description: Chloroflexi bacterium (groundwater metagenome) tRNA-Val
Rfam family: tRNA
About the family: Transfer RNA (tRNA) molecules are approximately 80 nucleotides in length. Their secondary structure includes four short double-helical elements and three loops (D, anti-codon, and T loops). Further hydrogen bonds mediate the characteristic L-shaped molecular structure. tRNAs have two regions of fundamental functional importance: the anti-codon, which is responsible for specific mRNA codon recognition, and the 3' end, to which the tRNAs corresponding amino acid is attached (by aminoacyl-tRNA synthetases). tRNAs cope with the degeneracy of the genetic code in two manners: having more than one tRNA (with a specific anti-codon) for a particular amino acid; and 'wobble' base-pairing, i.e. permitting non-standard base-pairing at the 3rd anti-codon position.
Source: RNAcentral